This 254-nucleotide ribosomal RNA is filed under the name uncultured bacterium. RNAcentral describes it as "partial 16S ribosomal RNA". It matches the Rfam family "Bacterial small subunit ribosomal RNA", at positions 524 to 776 of the family's 1533-position model. The record is from RNAcentral.
UCCGUAGGGGGCGAGCGUUGUCCGGAUUCAUUGGGCGUAAAGCGCUUUAAGGCGGUUCGCUAAGUCGCGUGUGAAAACUCCAGGCUCAACCUGGAGACGCCACGCGAUACUGGCGUGACUAGAGUUCGGUAGGGGAUCACGGAAUUCCUGGUGUAGCGGUGAAAUGCGCAGAUAUCAGGAAGAACACCCGUGGCGAAGGCGGCUCUCUGGGACGGUACUGACGCUGAGACGCGAAAGCGUGGGGAGCAAACAGG